UACGUAGGGUGCAAGCGUUGUCCGGAAUUAUUGGGCGUAAAGAGCUCGUAGGCGGUUUGUCGCGUCGAAUGUGAAAACCCGGGGCUCAACCCCGGGCCUGCAUUCGAUACGGGCAGACUAGAGUUCGGUAGGGGAGUCUGGAAUUCCUGGUGUAGCGGUGAAAUGCGCAGAUAUCGGGAGGAACACCAGUGGCGAAGGCGACUACCUGGCCUGUUCUUGACGCUGAGGCGCGAAAGCUAGGGGAGCA
This 247-nucleotide ribosomal RNA is filed under the name uncultured bacterium. RNAcentral describes it as "partial 16S ribosomal RNA". It matches the Rfam family "Bacterial small subunit ribosomal RNA", at positions 524 to 770 of the family's 1533-position model. The record is from RNAcentral.